RNAcentral lists this ribosomal RNA (516 nucleotides) under uncultured Planctomycetota bacterium. Its description in RNAcentral is "bacterial SSU rRNA". It matches the Rfam family "Bacterial small subunit ribosomal RNA", at positions 117 to 643 of the family's 1533-position model. The record is from RNAcentral. Lineage: Bacteria; Pseudomonadati; Planctomycetota.
GUAGUUACGUGCCCCGAGGUUCGGAAUAGCCAGCCGAAAGGCUGGGUAAUGCCGAAUAAUAUCUCCGGAUCAAAGGUGUGAUUCCGCCUCGGGAGCGGACUGCGUCCUACUAGCUAGUUGGCGGGGUAAUGGCCCACCAAGGCGACAAUGGGUAGCGGGCGUGAGAGCGUGGCCCGUCUCACUGGGACUGAGACACUGCCCAGACACCUACGGGUGGCUGCAGUCGAGAAUCUUCGGCAAUGGGCGCAAGCCUGACCGAGCGACGCCGCGUGCGGGAUGAAGGCCCUCGGGUUGUAAACCGCUUUCGGUUGGGAGGAAAUUUCUCGGGGUUCUCCCCGAGGAUUGACCUAUCUUCGGAAGAAGGACGGGCUAAGUUCGUGCCAGCAGCCGCGGUAAUACGAACCGUCCAAACGUUAUUCGGAUUCAUUGGGCUUAAAGGGUACGUAGGCGGCCCUGUUAGUCGGGUGUGAAAUCCCUCGGCUCAACCGAGGAACUGCGCCCGAUACUGCAGGGCUC